This is a non-coding RNA of Podarcis lilfordi (Lilford's wall lizard), 77 nucleotides long. Lineage: Eukaryota; Metazoa; Chordata; Lepidosauria; Squamata; Lacertidae. The record is from the annotation of a GenBank genome assembly.
AAUUUGGAUCCCAUUGAAAUAUAUGGGACAAGUUAUCUUGACUAACUUGUCCCUUAUAUUUCAGUGAGAUUCAGGUU